Molecule: non-coding RNA, 131 nt
Organism: Heteronotia binoei (common prickly gecko)
Lineage: Eukaryota; Metazoa; Chordata; Lepidosauria; Squamata; Gekkonidae
Product: small Cajal body-specific RNA 11
Exons: 1
Source: RefSeq, a predicted model, not a curated record
CCUUCUUUCCCUGCCACCAGGCCCAGCUUGUGGAGUUCUGCUGCUAGUGCUGGAAAGAGGAAUCACCAUUUUUCCUUGGCUUUAAGGGGUGGGGGAACUCCCCCCACCCCUUAAAGCCAAGGAAAAACACU